UUGUUUCAGCAACACAUAUACUAAAAUUGGAGCGAUGCAGAAUUUAGCAUGGCCCCUGUGCAAGGACAUGCAAAUUCGUGAAGCGUUCCAUAUUUUU
This 97-nucleotide small nuclear RNA is filed under the name Canis lupus familiaris (dog). Lineage: Eukaryota; Metazoa; Chordata; Mammalia; Carnivora; Canidae. The record is from RNAcentral.